Molecule: long non-coding RNA, 3023 nt
Organism: Oncorhynchus tshawytscha (Chinook salmon)
Lineage: Eukaryota; Metazoa; Chordata; Actinopteri; Salmoniformes; Salmonidae
Source: Ensembl
GUCCUAUCUAGGUUGUUUAGUUCUAUGUGGCCUGGUAUGGUUCCCAAUCAGAGGCAGCUGUUUAUCAUUGUCUCUGAUUGGGGAUCAUAUUUAGGCAGCCAUUUCCCCACUAUGUUUUGUGGGAUGUUGUUUUUGUGUUGUUGCCUUUGAGCACUUCAUUUACAUCACGUUCGGUGUUUCUUUAUUUUGUAUUGUUCUAAGUUCCACUUCAAUAAAUAUGUGGAACCCAGAUCACGCAGUGCUUUGGUCCGAGUAUGCUUCCAACGAUGAUCGUGACACAUUGUCCAUUUGGAAGACCCAUUUGCAACCAAGCUUUAACUUCCUUACUGAUGUCUUGAGAUGUUGCUUCAAUAUAUCAACAAUUUUCCUUCCUCAUGACGCCAUCUAUUUUGUGAACUGCAUCAGUCCCUCCUGCAGCAAAGCACACCAACAACAUGAUGCUGCCACCCCUGUGCUUCACGGUUGGGAUGGUGUUCUUCGGCUUGCAAGCCUCCCCCUUUUUCCUCCAAACAUAAUGAUGGUCAUUAUGGCCAAACAGUUCUAUUUUUGUUUCAUCAGACCAGAGGACAUUUCUCCAAAAAUUACAAUCUUUGUCCCCAUGUGCAGUUGCAAACCGUAGUCUGGCUUUUUUAUGGCGGUUUUGGAGCAGUGGCUUCUUCCUUGCUGAGAGGCCUUUCAGGUUAUGUUGAUAUAGGACUCGUUUUACUGUGGAUAUAGAUACUUUUGUACCUGUUUCCUCCAGCAUCUUCACAAGGUCCUUUGCUGAUGUUCUGGGAUUGAUGCGCACUUUUCGCACACAAGUACGUUCAUCUCGAGGAGACAGAAUGCGUCUCCUUCCUGAGCGGUAUGAAGGCUGCGUGGUCCCAUGGUGUUUAUACUUGCGUACUAUUGAUUGCACUGAUGAAAGUGGUAUCAGGUGUUUGGAAAUUGCUCCCAAGGAUAAACCAGACUUGUGGAGGUCUACAAUAUUUUUUCUGAAGUCUUGGCUGAUUUCUUUUGAUUUUCCCAUGAGUUUGAAGUUCGAAGGUAGGCCUUGAAAUACAUCUACAGGUACACCUCCAAUAGACUCAAAUUAUGUCAAUUAGCCUAUCAGAAGUUUCUAAAGCCAUGACAUCCUUUCUGGAAUUUUCCAAGCUGUUUAAAGGCACAGUCAAUUUAUUGUAUGUAAACUUCUGACCCACUGGAAUUGUGAUACAGUGAAAUAAUCUGUCUGUAAACAAUUGUUGGAAAAAUUACUUGUGUCAUGCACAAAGUAGAUGUCCUAACCGACUUUCCAGAACUAUAGUUUAUUCACAAGAAAUUUGUGGAGUGGUUGAAAAAUGAGUUUUAAUGACUCAAACCUAAGUGUAUGUAAACUUCCGAGUUCAACAAUAUGUCUCAGUCUGUGAGUCAUGCCGUGGGUAGAGGUCGUUCCCAUGCUGGUUGUGUUGUUUCCCUGCUGGUAGAGGUGGAACUCCACAGAGGUGACUGGAAUGAAGAGGAGGCUUUGGUGUCUGUCUCUACCCUACCGCCUGGUGAGUGAGGUGUCUGUCUCUACCCUACCGCCUGGUGAGUGAGGUUUCUGUCUCUACCCUACCGCCUGGUGAGUGAGGUUUCUGUCUCUACCCUACCGCCUGGUGAGUGAGGUGUCUGUCUCUACCCUACCGCCUGGUGAGUGAAGUGUCUGUCUCUACCCUACCGCCUGGUGAGUGAGGUGUCUGUCUCUACCCUACCGCCUGGUGAGUGAGGUUUCUGUCUCUACCCUACCGCCUGGUGAGUGAGGUUUCUGUCUCUACCCUAUCGCCUGGUGAGUGAGGUGUCUGUCUCUACCCUAUCGCCUGGUGAGUGAGGUUUCUGUCUCUACCCUAUCGCCUGGUGAGUGAGGUGUCUGUCUCUACCCUACCGCCUGGUGACUAAGGUCUUCAAUGUGGAACAGAAACAUCACUAAACAAUGUUAGGCCAGGGAUGACCAGGGGUGUCCUGUGUUAUCUAAACAUUGUGUGUGAGUUAUCUGGAUGUUGUGUGUAUCCUCUGUGCUAGACUGUAGGGAAGAGACGUACCCCUGUACCAGGAUGUACUCUGUCCACCGGCCCAUCAAGAGAUGCAUCCACUCCCUCUGCCUUUACAGGUAAACUGCAACUACAGGUUCUCUCUCACAGGAAAACAUAGACACACUCAGUGCCUCCUGGUCAUGCAGUCAAAGUUCAUUGGUUUCAACCUGAGAGCCUGUACAGAGAGGCAUGUUUUAGAGACAGCAGCUGGGCUCUGAUUAUAGUGUAAUGAUGUAUGUCUCCUGGUUUGUCUCAGCCUCCCUCUAUGUGAUCAACAAGGAGAUAUGUGUUAGAACUGUCUGCCAACAGGAUGAGUACCUGAAGGGUAAGACAGUCCACCUGAUAGCACUUCAUUAGACCCGUUGUUAGGAUUACAACAACAUAACAAUCUUAGAGUGCAUGAAACACUUACUGGCUUUAGGACAGCAUGUACAUCUGAGCCCACACAUCCUCUCUCUCUUCUCUCCAUCCCAGCUGAGCUCUGCAGGGAGCGGUCCGGCUGGCCCAAACGCUUCCAGAGGUCAACCACCAAUAAGAAACGCUGUCACAAUCGCCGCGGCAAUCCCAAAAUCUGGGAAAACAAGGCCUGAUGGGCCCAAGACGGAGGAGUUAGAAGGAGGGGUGGAGGAGGAAGGAGAGGAGGACAGAAAGAGAGAAGGAGGGGUGGAGGAGGAAGGAGAGAAGGAGUAGGAGGGAGGACACCCUUGGAGACAGAACACUGGGUUGUCUCCAUAAAAAGACCCGGAAACACCAUAAAUUCCCCGCUCAACACCUGGUGCUAGCCUGUGCCUUAAUACACAACCACAACCACGCACGCACACACACAAACAAUAUAUAUUUAAAACACAGUCCACGUGACUCCAGUUAAGAGCAGUCUGAGUCAUAUUUUUCAUUUCUUCUAUUGGACCUGUGUUUUAAUAGAACUGUCUGUGAAUAUCAGGGGAGAAAUCACUCCCCACAGAUUGGACCUGUGUUUUAAUAGAACUGUCUGUG